This 196-nucleotide ribosomal RNA is filed under the name uncultured bacterium. Its description in RNAcentral is "partial 16S ribosomal RNA". It matches the Rfam family "Bacterial small subunit ribosomal RNA", at positions 337 to 524 of the family's 1533-position model. The record is from RNAcentral.
UCCUACGGGAGGCAGCAGUGGGGAAUAUUGGACAAUGGGGGGAACCCUGAUCCAGCCAUGCCGCGUGUGUGAAGAAGGCCUUAUGGUUGUAAAGCACUUUAAGCGAGGAGGAGGGUACUGGUAUUAAUACUACCAGCUACUGGACGUUACUCGCAGAAUAAGCACCGGCUAACUCUGUGCCAGCAGCCGCGGUAAU